Molecule: ribosomal RNA, 465 nt
Filed under: uncultured bacterium
Lineage: Bacteria
Description: partial 16S ribosomal RNA
Rfam family: Bacterial small subunit ribosomal RNA
Source: RNAcentral
CCUACGGGGGGCAGCAGUGGGGAAUAUUGCGCAAUGGGCGAAAGCCUGACGCAGCGACGCCGCGUGAGGGAUGAAGGUCUUCGGAUCGUAAACUUCUGUCAGCAGGGAAGAACGGUCACUGUGCUAAUCAGCAGUGAAUUGACGGUACCUGCAAAGGAAGCACCGGCUAACUCCGUGCCAGCAGCCGCGGUAAUACGGAGGGUGCGAGCGUUAAUCGGAAUUACUGGGCGUAAAGCGCUCGUAGGCGGUAUGUCAAGUCAAGGGUGAAAUCCCCGCGCUCAACGUGGGAACUGCCUUUGAAACUGGCAAACCGGAGUGUGUGAGAGGAUAGUGGAAUUCCAGGUGUAGGAGUGAAAUCCGUAGAUAUCUGGAGGAACAUCAGUGGCGAAGGCGACUAUCUGGCACAUAACUGACGCUGAGGAGCGAAAGCGUGGGUAGCAAACAGGAUUAGAUACCCCAGUAGUC